This 796-nucleotide transfer RNA is filed under the name Bradyrhizobium japonicum. RNAcentral's name for it is "16S-23S ribosomal RNA intergenic spacer". The stretch from base 194 to 267 matches the Rfam family "tRNA". The record is from RNAcentral. Lineage: Bacteria; Pseudomonadati; Pseudomonadota; Alphaproteobacteria; Hyphomicrobiales; Nitrobacteraceae.
CUAAGGAUGAUCCUUCAGCCUAGCUUCGGCUAGCUAUCGGAUCGUUUUAGAAACAUCAGUGGCCAACGGUCGUCAGGAUCGUUGAGCUGCAUUGGCGGGAUUUCGCCGUCUUCGUUUCUCUUUCUUCGCGGACGAACACGCGCUGGGGCUGCAACCUUGCAGGAUCCCUGGUCCUUGACUGGAUAUGCGUUAGGGGCUUGUAGCUCAGUUGGUUAGAGCGCGCGCUUGAUAAGCGUGAGGUCGGAAGUUCAAGUCUUCCCAGGCCCACCACUUUCAUCGAGUGAGCAUUCGUCUUCUGGUUACGGGGCCAUAGCUCAGCUGGGAGAGCGCGUGCUUUGCAAGCAUGAGGUCGUCGGUUCGAUCCCGUCUGGCUCCACCAGAUGGUUUGAUCACCGACAACUCAACCGUCGUCCGCGAAACAUCACUUCGCACUCACUAGUCCGGAUGGACAGUGACGUGCGUGAUUUCUGACAUCGUAAAGAGGAGAUCGAUCCGAGUUGGAUCGUGCAGAAGAUUUCUGCGCGAUACUUCAUUAUCUCCGGAUCAUUUCGGCGCUCGUGCGUCUUCCAGGGUAGCUCACAAGGCUGCAUUUGAAAGACAAGCGAGUUGUAAAUGAUCCUUUUAGCGAAGCUUGACCGCCUCGCUAUCGGAACGAUCUUACGAAGCAAGCUGGUCUUUCUAAUCAUUGUCCGGCUGCAGAUAGCGUUCAUCGAGGGCGCGUGCCUUAGAGAUUUCGAUCUCUUGGCAAUUCUGCAGACAACAUUCUGCCGAGUGUGUGGACAUUGAUAAUGAGAGC